AAAGCGAAGAGCAACUGCAAUUACUUGUGCAUUCGUCCAUUUCAAGAUUGUGCAAAGUUAUUAUUCAGAAAAAGAAACCCAUCUACACAAAAGAAAAAUGAUUCCAUCCGAAAUAUUUUAGUGCAGUCAAAUUAAAACAAAUAGUAGGGAGAACUGUUUGAGAUACAUACAACAUUCCUGUUGGCCAGUCUUCUCCGCCAUCGGCAUCCAACCGUUGCUUUUGCCGUCGUGCCAUAGCACCCAUUUCCCAACCUCGUCAUGUCGGGCACACACUUCACUAAUUAAAUUGCCUAUGAG
RNAcentral lists this long non-coding RNA (297 nucleotides) under Setaria viridis. RNAcentral describes it as "long non-coding RNA (SVIR_LNC008070)". Lineage: Eukaryota; Viridiplantae; Streptophyta; Magnoliopsida; Poales; Poaceae. The record is from RNAcentral.